Small nucleolar RNA from Neltuma alba, 81 nucleotides. RefSeq annotates it as small nucleolar RNA Z161/Z228. Lineage: Eukaryota; Viridiplantae; Streptophyta; Magnoliopsida; Fabales; Fabaceae. The transcript has a single exon. The record is from RefSeq and is a predicted model, not a curated record.
AGGCCGAAUGAUGAAUUUGGAUUAAUAUUUUCUCACGACGGUCGUCUGAGAUUCUCUCUUUGAUGCAAUGAUCCGAUGAUU